RNAcentral lists this ribosomal RNA (406 nucleotides) under uncultured bacterium. RNAcentral describes it as "partial 16S ribosomal RNA". It matches the Rfam family "Bacterial small subunit ribosomal RNA", at positions 30 to 526 of the family's 1533-position model. The record is from RNAcentral.
AUUGAACGCUGACGGCAGGCCUAACACAUGCAAGUCGAACGAGUGGCGGACGGGUGAGUAAUGUCUGGGAAACUGCCCGAUGGCGGGGGAUAACUACUGGAAACGGUCGCUAAUACCGCAUACCAUCGGAUGUGCCCAGAUGGGAUUCGCUAGUAGGUGGGGUAACGGUUCACCUAGGCGACGAUCCCUAGCUGGUCUGAGAGGAUGACCAGCCACACUGGAACGGAGACACGGUCCAGACCCCUACGGGAGGCAGCAGUGGGGAAUAUUGCACAAUGGGCGCAAGCCUGAUGCAGCCAGGCCGCGUGUGUGAAGAAGGCCUUCGGGUUUUAAAGCACUUUCAGCGGGGAGGCGUUACCCGCAGAAGAAGCACCGGCUAACUCCGUGCCAGCAGCCGCGGUAAUUC